GAACCAUGAAGAUAACUUGAUAUGAUAGCGGAAUGUUGACUCGAGACCACUACUAGUCAAUACCACUAAUAGGCCACAGCAAGUAAUGUGGAUGGACACUUGAUGUAAACCAACAAAAACAGCUAGACAACUAGACAAUGGCUUAACAAAGAUGAUGAAACAAACAGGAGAUUGGACUAUAAUUAAUAAAUCUCCAUUCACUUCCAUUCAUGAGAACUUUGUAAACAAGGAUCCACAGGGUAACAUCACGGUAACAAUAGCGGUCAAAAACGAGAACACUAACAGUAACCACGGCAAAACCAUAAACGUAACUUCAAUCAAACUUCGAAACCAUAAGUAAGUUCAGACGAGACCAAUCUAAAAAGCCAACAGAAAAUCUAAUUCCUCCAGUUCCCAUCGGAACCACCACCGCCUCCACCUCUUGAAGAGCGAUCGUUGUAGCGGUCACCUCCUCCAUAACCACCACCGCCUCCACCGUAACCACCUUCACGACGACCACCUCCGUAGCCGCCUCCACCGUAGCCGCCGCCGCCGCCUUCACGUCGGCCACCUCCGUAGCCGCCGCCGCCACCGUAGCCUCCGCCACCGCCUUCACGUCGGCCACCUCCGUAGCCGCCGCCGCCACCGUAGCCUCCGCCACCGCCUUCACGUCGGCCACCUCCGUAGCCGCCGCCGCCACCGUAGCCUCCGCCA
RNAcentral lists this unclassified non-coding RNA (693 nucleotides) under Hevea brasiliensis (rubber tree). Lineage: Eukaryota; Viridiplantae; Streptophyta; Magnoliopsida; Malpighiales; Euphorbiaceae. The record is from RNAcentral.